This 328-nucleotide long non-coding RNA is filed under the name Mytilus galloprovincialis (Mediterranean mussel). Lineage: Eukaryota; Metazoa; Mollusca; Bivalvia; Mytilida; Mytilidae. The record is from RNAcentral.
AUAAUUCAUGUGAUAUAAUUUUGGUAAGUUUACAGAAAUAGAAGGUCCAUAAUGCAUUAAUCGAGUAAAAAUGGAGCAAUUUCAGAAAAACUUUAAUGAUUGGUUUAGGAGGUGUUGGAAAUACCUGAUGGGUGCCCCAUAUAAUGUAAUGUUCAAGUCCGUAUCUUAUAUAAAGUAACCCCAUAAAAGAUUUUUACUAAAAUUCGAAAUAGACGGUACACAAUACAGUCAUUAUCAUUUAUGAUAAGGAAUCCGAAUAAGAUUAAUUAAUAGUUAUAUCAGUGACGGAUUCAAAAAACGGAGACCCGGCAGUUUGAAACCCUUUUUU